RNAcentral lists this unclassified non-coding RNA (400 nucleotides) under soil metagenome. RNAcentral's name for it is "partial contains 5.8S ribosomal RNA, internal transcribed spacer 2, and large subunit ribosomal RNA". The stretch from base 1 to 120 matches the Rfam family "5.8S ribosomal RNA", at positions 35 to 154 of the family's 154-position model. The record is from RNAcentral.
GAUGAAGAACGUAGCGAAAUGCGAUAAGUAAUGUGAAUUGCAGAAUUCCGUGAAUCAUCGAAUCUUUGAACGCGCAUUGCGCCCUCUGGUAUUCCGGGGGGCAUGCCUGCCUGGGUGUCGCACAUCGUUGCCCCAAUGCCUCAGCGCUGUUGCAAGGCAUGGCAAAGGGGCGAAUGUUGGCUUCCCGCGAGCGAUGCCCUCACGGUUGGCUGAAAAUCGAGUCCGUGGUGGAGUGUGCCGCGAUGGAUGGUGGUUGAGUAAAAGCUCGAGACCGAUCGUGUGUGUCGCCCCGACCGGAUUUGGGACUCCAUGACCCACGAGCGGCCGUUGGCCGCCCACGACGGGACCUCAGGUCAGGCGGGGCUACCCGCUGAGUUUAAGCAUAUCAAUAAGCGGAGGA